GGCUGGAAAGAUGGCUCAGCGGUUAAGAGCACUGACUGCUCUUCCAGAGGUCCUGAGUUUGAUUCCCAGCAGCCA
Molecule: transfer RNA, 75 nt
Filed under: Mus musculus (house mouse)
Lineage: Eukaryota; Metazoa; Chordata; Mammalia; Rodentia; Muridae
Description: tRNA-Ser
Source: RNAcentral